GACGGGACCCCGCACAAGCGGUGGAUCAUGUUGUUUAAUUCGAUGAUACGCGAAGAACCUUACCAGGUCUUGACAUCCCCACGAUGCUUUUAGAGAUAAAGCGGAGGUAUUCGGGGAGACAGGUGGUGCAUGGUUGUCGUCAGCUCGUGUCGUGAGAUGUUGGGUUAAGUCCCGCAACGAGCGCAACCCCUAUUGCUAGUUACCAUCAUUAAGUUGGGGACUCUAGCGAGACUGCCAGUGAUAAACUGGAGGAAGGUGGGGAUGACGUCAAAUCAUCAUGCCCCUUAUGACCUGGGCUACAAACGUGAUACAAUGGCUGGAACAAAGGGAUGCGAAGCAGUGAUGUGGAGCGAAACCCAUAAAAACAGUCUCAGUUCGGAUUGAAGUCUGCAACUCGACUUCAUGAAGUCGGAAUCGCUAGUAAUCGCGGAUCAGAACGCCGCGGUGAAUACGUUCUCGGGGUUU
RNAcentral lists this ribosomal RNA (465 nucleotides) under uncultured Acholeplasma sp. Its description in RNAcentral is "bacterial SSU rRNA". It matches the Rfam family "Bacterial small subunit ribosomal RNA", at positions 912 to 1382 of the family's 1533-position model. The record is from RNAcentral. Lineage: Bacteria; Bacillati; Mycoplasmatota; Mollicutes; Acholeplasmatales; Acholeplasmataceae.